AUUGAACGCUCGCGGGAUGCUUUACACAUGCGAGUCGAACGGCAGCGCGGACUUCGGUCUGGCGGCGAGUGGCGAACGGGUGAGUAAUGUAUCGGAACGUGCCCAGUAGCGGGGGAUAACUACGCGAAAGCGUAGCUAAUACCGCAUACGCCCUACGGGGGAAAGCAGGGGAUCGUAAGACCUUGCACUAUUGGAGCGGCCGAUAUCGGAUUAGCUAGUUGGUGAGGUAACGGCUCACCAAGGCGACGAUCCGUAGCUGGUUUGAGAGGACGACCAGCCACACUGGGACUGAGACACGGCCCAGACUCCUACGGGAGGCAGCAGUGGGGAAUUUUGGACAAUGGGGGCAACCCUGAUCCAGCCAUCCCGCGUGUGCGAUGAAGGCCUUCGGGUUGUAAAGCACUUUUGGCAGGAAAGAAACGUCGCGGGCUAAUACCCCGUGGAACUGACGGUACCUGCAGAAUAAGCACCGGCUAACUACGUG
RNAcentral lists this ribosomal RNA (484 nucleotides) under uncultured bacterium. RNAcentral's name for it is "partial 16S ribosomal RNA". It matches the Rfam family "Bacterial small subunit ribosomal RNA", at positions 30 to 507 of the family's 1533-position model. The record is from RNAcentral.